UACCAGAUGGAGCCGACCAGCGGUCU
Molecule: non-coding RNA, 26 nt
Filed under: Mus musculus (house mouse)
Lineage: Eukaryota; Metazoa; Chordata; Mammalia; Rodentia; Muridae
Source: RNAcentral